GGAAGGAUCAUUAGCAAGUUCGAGGACGUCUCGACCGGACCCGCGAGGGGACGGCGACGGCGUCCCGACGCAAGGAAGUCGUAGAGGCCGUGCGGGCCGGAAGAACCGGCCGCACGUCCAGCUUCGCUCGUCCACAAACCCUUUCCGCGUACCAUCCCUCGUUGCUUUCCCGGACCCACGGGUCGUUUGAGCGUCCCGUCCGGGAACAGACCAAAGCCAUUUGCUAAGCAGUCGUCUGACGGGAUGGCCCGCAAGCCAUCGUGAACUAGAAAACUUAAAACUUUCAAACAACAGAUCUCUUGGUUCUCGCAUCGAUGAAGAACGCAGCGAAAUGCGAUAAGUAAUGUGAAUUGCAGAAUUCAGUGAAUCAUCGAAUCUUUGAACGCACAUUGCGCCCUCUGGCAUUCCGGGGGGCAUGCCUGUCCGAGCGUCACGAAAACCCCAUCACACUCGUUGUGGUCAUGGCAGCAGUGAGUAGCCUCCAGCGGGGGCGGCCACGCCGCUGAAAGGAAUGGUGCGGAUGAGUCCGAUGGCCGAACGUAGUACUUGACAACCGUCGGCUAAUCGGGCCCUCCAUCUCGCCCUGACGAUGGACCCCCGUCGUACCCUCAAAGGUGGACCUCGGAUCAGGUAGGGAUACCCGCUGAACUUAAGCAUAUCAAUAAGCGGAGGAAAAGAAACCAACAGGGAUUGCCUCAGUAACGGCGAGUGAAGCGGCAAGAGCUCAAAUUUUAAAUCUGGCGUCUUCGACGUCCGAGUUGUAAUUUGGAGAGGCAUCUUCGGGGCGGACCCCAGUCUAUGUUCCGUGGAACCGGACGUCGCAGAGGGUGAGAAUCCCGUGUACGGCUGGCGGUCUCCGCCCUCCACGAAGUGUCUUCUACGAGUCGAGUUGUUUGGGAAUGCAGCUCAAAAUGGGUGGUAAAUUUCAUCUAAAGCUAAAUACCGGCGAGAGACCGAUAGCGCACAAGUAGAGUGAUCGAAAGAUGAAAAGCACUUUGAAAAUAGAGUUAAAAAGUACGUGAAAUUGUUGAAAGGGAAGCGCUUGAGAUCAGACUCGGCCUUCGGCAAACAGCCUUCCUUCUGGUCGGCGCACUUGUCGUCGGCCGGGCCAGCAUCGGUUGGGACGGCGGGAUAAAGACUCGGGGAAUGUGGCUCCCCUCGGGGAGUGUUAUAGCCCCGGGUGAAAUGCCGCCCGUCACGACCGAGGACCGCGCUUCGGCUAGGAUGCUGGCGUAAUGGUCUUCAGCGACCCGUCUUGAAACACGGACCAAGGAGUCUAACAUCUAUGCGAGUGUUUGGGCUUCACACCCUCACGCGUAAUGAGAGUGAACGGAGGUGGGAACCCCUCACCGGGCGCACCAUCGACCGAUCCUGAUGUCUUCGGAUGGAUUUGAGUAGGAGCAUAGCUGUUGGGACCCGAAAGAUGGUGAACUAUGCCUGAAUAGGGUGAAGCCAGAGGAAACUCUGGUGGAGGCUCGCAGCGGUUCUGACGUGCAAAUCGAUCGUCAAAAUUUGGGUAUAGGGGCGAAAGACUAAUCGAACCAUCUAGUAGCUGGUUCCUGC
This 1563-nucleotide unclassified non-coding RNA is filed under the name uncultured fungus. RNAcentral's name for it is "sequence contains 18S rRNA gene, ITS1, 5.8S rRNA gene, ITS2, 28S rRNA gene". The stretch from base 617 to 1563 matches the Rfam family "Eukaryotic large subunit ribosomal RNA", at positions 1 to 961 of the family's 3401-position model. The record is from RNAcentral. Lineage: Eukaryota; Fungi.